This 170-nucleotide ribosomal RNA is filed under the name Pseudoalteromonas sp. H103. RNAcentral's name for it is "partial 16S ribosomal RNA". It matches the Rfam family "Bacterial small subunit ribosomal RNA", at positions 1 to 162 of the family's 1533-position model. Lineage: Bacteria; Pseudomonadati; Pseudomonadota; Gammaproteobacteria; Alteromonadales; Pseudoalteromonadaceae. The record is from RNAcentral.
UUUAAUUGAAGAGUUUGAUCAUGGCUCAGAUUGAACGCUGGCGGCAGGCCUAACACAUGCAAGUCGAGCGGUAACAGAAAGUAGCUUGCUACUUUGCUGACGAGCGGCGGACGGGUGAGUAAUGCUUGGGAACAUGCCUUGAGGUGGGGGACAACAGUUGGAAACGACUG